GAUGAAGAACGUAGCGAAAUGCGAUACGUAAUGUGAAUUGCAAAUUCAGUGAAUCAUCGAGUCUUUGAACGCAGAUUGCGCCCCCUGGUAUUCCGGGGGGCAUGCCUGUCCGAGCGUCAUUGCUGCCCUCAAGCACGGCUUGUGUGUUGGGCCCCGUCCUCCGAUCCCGGGGGACGGGCCCGAAAGGCAGCGGCGGCACCGCGUCCGGUCCUCGAGCGUAUGGGGCUUUGUCACCCACUCUGUAGGCCCGGCCGGCGCUUGCCGAUCAACCCAAAUUUUUAUCCAGGUUGACCUCGGAUCAGGUAGGGAUACCCGCUGAACUUAAGCAUAUCAAUAAGCGGAGGA
This 345-nucleotide unclassified non-coding RNA is filed under the name soil metagenome. Its description in RNAcentral is "partial contains 5.8S ribosomal RNA, internal transcribed spacer 2, and large subunit ribosomal RNA". The stretch from base 1 to 119 matches the Rfam family "5.8S ribosomal RNA", at positions 35 to 154 of the family's 154-position model. The record is from RNAcentral.